GCCCCUUAAUGCCGUCACCCGCGCGCCUUGCGUCCGGCGCGCCUGGGUGGAGGCGGGACUUCCGGGCGCGCGGAGGCGGGACUUCCGGGAGCAGGCGGAAGAGCCUCUGGGCGCUGGGCUCGGGCGUCCGGGGGCCGCUGAGGGGCCGCUCGGGGUGCAGGAAAGGGCCACCGGGCCUGGCCGGCCCCGCUCGAGGUGUCGGGCCGCGGGCCUGAGGGAGGAGGAGGGGCCGUGGCCGGCGACGGGGCCCGGAAGUGGUUCUGGAGGCGCAGCAACGGCGAAGUCCCGGGCAGCAUCCAGCAUGUGUACGGCGCCCAGCACCCCCCCUUCGACCCACUGUUACACGGCACCUUGCUCAAGGGUGCGCCCAAGGCGCCUGCCACACCCAUGAAGGCCAAGAGCCUCAGCACUUCCCGGAGUUUGAGAGCAACACCAGCGACGCCUGGGAUGCUGGCGAGGACGAUGACGGGCUCCUGGCCGUGGCAGCCGAGAGCCUGAACACCGACGUGGUCAUGGAGACAGCCCACCACGUCCUGCGCAACCACAGCCAGCGGCAGGAGCGCCGCAAGCCGCAGGAGGCGCCGGGCCCCGAGCAGGAGCCACAGCCUUCGGCAGAGCCUCCUUCGGUCCCGAGCGGUGACCUCGGCUGGUGAAGUCCGUCAGCGAGAGCCACACAUCCUGUCCUGCAGGUGGGCGGGGGCGCGAGGAGAUGACGGGCAGUGCUGCGAGGGAGAGGGGCUGGAGGCCUCUCGGUGUGGGGGGUUAGCGGGCGUUCCGUCCUCUUUGCCACAGGAGCUC
Long non-coding RNA from Mirounga angustirostris (Northern elephant seal), 798 nucleotides. RefSeq lists it as uncharacterized. The transcript has 3 exons. Lineage: Eukaryota; Metazoa; Chordata; Mammalia; Carnivora; Phocidae. The record is from RefSeq and is a predicted model, not a curated record.